AGACCCGAAACCCGGUGAUCUAGCCAUGGGCAGGUUGAAGGUUGGGUAACACUAACUGGAGGACCGAACCGACUAAUGUUGAAAAAUUAGCGGAUGACCUGUGGCUGGGGGUGAAAGGCCAAUCAAACCGGGAGAUAGCUGGUUCUCCCCGAAAGCUAUUUAGGUAGCGCCUCGUGAAUUCAUCUCCGGGGGUAGAGCACUGUUUCGGCUAGGGGGCCAUCCCGGCUUACCAACCCGAUGCAAACUGCGAAUACCGGAGAAUGUUAUCACGGGAGACACACGGCGGGUGCUAACGUCCGUCGUGAAGAGGGAAACAACCCAGACCGCCAGCUAAGGUCCCAAAGUCAUGGUUAAGUGGGAAACGAUGUGGGAAGGCCCAGACAGCCAGGAUGUUGGCUUAGAAGCAGCCAUCAUUUAAAGAAAGCGUAAUAGCUCACUGGUCGAGUCGGCCUGCGCGGAAGAUGUAACGGGGCUAAACCAUGCACCGAAGCUGCGGCAGCGAACGUAUCACCCAAGACAACUUUACGGAGUUGACGAUUGACGGAGCGAAGCGACGUCAAAGCGUUCAUUAAAGUCGAGUUGGCUUAGGGAUACGUUCGUUGGGUAGGGGAGCGUUCUGUAAGCCUGUGAAGGUGUGUCGUGAGGCAUGCUGGAGGUAUCAGAAGUGCGAAUGCUGACAUAAGUAACGAUAAAGCGGGUGAAAAGCCCGCUCGCCGGAAGACCAAGGGUUCCUGUCCAACG
Molecule: ribosomal RNA, 741 nt
Filed under: Salmonella enterica
Lineage: Bacteria; Pseudomonadati; Pseudomonadota; Gammaproteobacteria; Enterobacterales; Enterobacteriaceae
Also listed under: 2 other names
Description: partial 23S ribosomal RNA
Rfam family: Bacterial large subunit ribosomal RNA
Source: RNAcentral